AUUUCCUAAGCAUUGUUUGGGAUUGGAAAGAAACUGUCUUCCUUCCUACCAAGUUAAUCACAGAUAUUCAAUUCUUCUAUGUGUUUCAUGUCUACACAAGUUUCCUUAUGUAUCUUGCACAUCAGCUAAGACAUAGUGCCUGCCAAAUGAUGUAUUUUAAGUACUUACUGAAUUAACAAUGAAAAGAUGCUAAAUAAAUUAGCAAUCAAAAGCCAUAUAAGUUACUCAAAAACAUCCGAGAGUCUCCACUCUUACCAUAAUUGACAUUUUUUAUUUACUGACAAUUUAGUAAAGUGGUGUGUUUUCUUUAUAAUGCAAUGCUUAGGUUUGUCAUAACUUUUACAUCCAAAAGCAAGUGACAUUUAAUUUGAUAACUGCAGUCACCAUUCCUAGUAAUUUUGAAGCUCAAGAAAAUUAAGCUUGUCACUGUUUCCACAUGUUUACCCCUUCUAUUUUGCAAGUAGUGAUUGGACCAGAUGCCCUUAUCUUUGUUUUUAUGAAUGUAGAGUUUUCAGCACGGUUUUUCACUCUAAUCAUUCACCCUCAUGAAAAGGCUCUUUAUUUCCUCUUCACUUUCUCUUUGUUUUUGCGUUAACAUCUAUAUAUGUGAGUGUUUUGCUGUUUCUCCCAGCCACUUUGAUGCCAGCUUUUGAUUCACUCAACUGGUAUUUAAAUAGUAUAUUCUGCAUAUGAUUCACGUAAGCAAGUGACAGUAAAGAGAUUUGUCACUCUUCUUUCACUUUUGAAGUGGUCAAUUUGUCCAUGCCCGAUCCAAUUCUUGCGUCUUGACUCAUUUAAGGGUGAUUCCAACUUUUAUUUCCUCAAGAUUUUCCAUGUACCCCAACCCUUUUAGUUUUGGUGUUCUCCAUCUAGACACCUACAUUUCUCAUUGUGGGGCAUCUAUCAUUGCUACAUCAGACCUUUUCCUGGUUUCCUUCUUUCUUUCAUUUUUUUUCCCCGCACCACACUCUGUUUCAUUUAUAUCCUCCUUUCUCAGUUAAGUUCAGUUGGUCCUUCAUCACCGACUCUUUGCAACCCCAUGAAUCGCA
This 1049-nucleotide small RNA is filed under the name Bos taurus (domestic cattle). Lineage: Eukaryota; Metazoa; Chordata; Mammalia; Artiodactyla; Bovidae. The record is from RNAcentral.